CCUACGGGAGGCAGCAGUGAGGAAUAUUGGUCAAUGGCCGGGAGGCUGAACCAGCGAAGUCGCGUGAGGGAAGAAGGCCCUACGGGUUGUAAACCUCUUUUGUCAGGGAGCAAGGUGCAGGUCGGGACCUGCUGGGAGAGUACCUGAAGAAAAAGCAUCGGCUAACGCAGUGCCAGCAGCCGCGUUAAUACGGAGGAUGCGAGCGUUAUCCGGUGUUAUUGGGUUAAAGGGGUGCGCGGGCGGAGGCACAGGGCAGCGGUAAAAGCGAGGGGAUCAACCCCGCUCCGUCGUUGAAACUGUGUCCCUUGAGUGCGCGAAUGGUAGGCGGAAUGCUUGGUGUAGCGGUGCAAUGCGUAGAUAUCACGCAGAACUCCGAUCGCGAAGGCAGCCUACCGGCGCGCAACUGACGCUGAUGCACGAAAGCGUGGGUAUCGAACAGGAUUAGAUACCCGAGUAGUC
RNAcentral lists this ribosomal RNA (459 nucleotides) under uncultured bacterium. RNAcentral describes it as "partial 16S ribosomal RNA". It matches the Rfam family "Bacterial small subunit ribosomal RNA", at positions 338 to 795 of the family's 1533-position model. The record is from RNAcentral.